GCUGGGAAAGGUCAGUCAGUAGAGCAUGAGUCUCUUAAUCUCAGGUUUGUGGGUUCAAGCGCCACGUUGAGCA
This is a non-coding RNA of Podarcis lilfordi (Lilford's wall lizard), 73 nucleotides long. NCBI's taxonomy places the organism in Eukaryota, Metazoa, Chordata, Lepidosauria, Squamata, Lacertidae. The record is from the annotation of a GenBank genome assembly.